GAUGAACGCUGGCGGCGUGCUUAACACAUGCAAGUCGAACGAAGACAUCUGAGUGCUUGCACUUGGAUGGACUGAGUGGCGGACGGGUGAGUAACGCGUGGGUAACCUGCCUUAUACAGGGGGAUAACAGUUGGAAACGACUGCUAAUACCGCAUAAGCGCACGGUAUCGCAUGAUACAGUGUGAAAAACUCCGGUGGUAUAAGAUGGACCCGCGUCUGAUUAGCUUGUUGGUGAGGUAACGGCCCACCAAGGCGACGAUCAGUAGCCGGCCUGAGAGGGUGAACGGCCACAUUGGGACUGAGACACGGCCCAAACUCCUACGGGAGCAGCAGUGGGGAAUAUUGCACAAUGGGCGCAAGCCUGACCCAGCAACGCCGCGUGAAGGAAGAAGGCUUUCGGGUUGUAAACUUCUUUAAGUAGGGAAGAGCAGAAGACGGUACCUCUAGAAUAAGCCACGGCUAACUACGUG
RNAcentral lists this ribosomal RNA (470 nucleotides) under uncultured bacterium. Its description in RNAcentral is "bacterial SSU rRNA". It matches the Rfam family "Bacterial small subunit ribosomal RNA", at positions 28 to 507 of the family's 1533-position model. The record is from RNAcentral.